GGUGAUAGGCUGCCACUGGGUGCACCGGCGCUGAUGAUGUCUCCACAGGCAGUGAACUUGGGCAUGGUGCGCCCAGACUUGGUUCAGAAAAGGGAUGACAAGUACAACAUAUCAACUGAUGCGUUGAAGCAAUCGAGGGUGGAGAUUGACGAGCCUGAAUGGAUUAGACCACAGGCUGACUACUGGAAGCAGCAUGCCAAGGGCUUUGCCGUCGAUAUUCAAUCAAGCGAAAUGAAGAAGAGGGCACCGUUCCCUUGAGCUUCGCACAGCAACAGCCACAGCCGCAGCCUCAGCUUCUGUCUUUCAUGUUCAAGCGUUGUUUCGUUGCAUGUUACUCUAUAUUAGUCUUUUGUAAAAUCUGUGUAAACUGUUGCUGCUUUUUCUUUUUCUUUUUCUUUUUCUUUUUCCUUUUAUGUAUUUUCUGCUACGGAAGUCUGAAACUUCCGCUUUAUUUGUAUGUAUAUUUUGUAGCUUCCAUGUCAACAAUUGGCGUUUGCCAUGUUUGUGGUCGUUUCCAUGUCAACAUUUUGGGCGUCUGCCGUGUUUGUGAUUGUUGAUUUCUUGAGUUUUCCAUGAUGGUAGUCUGUAGACACACUGGAAUUGCCAACGUACCUAUAAAUUAGCUUCUAAGAAUAUAAUUUCUCAGAGGUAGAUUUUUAUAAUUUAGAUUGGGUUAAUAAAAGUUCCAAGUUAUUGUUCCAAAUUAAUAUAUCCAGAGUGCAUGGAUAUAUUAAUUAAAUAAACGUCCUAUUAAAAUAUGGCUUGAAAAAUUGAUAAAUAUAAUACAGAAAUAAAUCUUCACCAUGUACAUUUUUUUUUUAAAACAAUACAUUGAAAUUAUGCUUAGAAAAUUUAAAAAUGGGUGUGUUACAGGAGAACUUUUUACGAAGUUACUCACCUAUCUAUCUUCAUGGUACUUUUUUUUUAAGUACUUUAUUUACACACUGUUCCAUGCGUAUGCUAUUGAGUAUUGAGAUAUUGAGUAUACAGAUUUUAUUUUAUAUUUAAAAGUUGUAGAUUUUAAGUUGUGGAUGCCGUAAAAAAAAUUAAUUAUAAAAUAAAAAUGAAUAAUGCAUAUGAUUUUUAAAUAUUAUUAUAAAAUAAAAAUUAAUAAUAUAGGAUAAAUAUAAUUUUUAAAUAAUUAUUUUAAUAAAAAAAAAUAAAAAAUUAUAAAGAUAUUACAUUUUUACAUUAUAAAAAUAAUUAAUAUUUUUUAAAUAUUUAGUAACUUUUAAUUUAUAACCGUCCGAUAGAUUGAACCAAAUCAACAUUAAUUGUGAGUUUUUCCAGGCAAUUCCUAUUCGGAGAAGUAAACCCAAUACUAGUAGUACUACUUGCGAAUUAGGACUAUAAUUUAGUCGAUCUCGCUUAACACAUGG
Molecule: long non-coding RNA, 1379 nt
Filed under: Citrus maxima (pomelo)
Lineage: Eukaryota; Viridiplantae; Streptophyta; Magnoliopsida; Sapindales; Rutaceae
Description: long non-coding RNA (CMAX_LNC001111)
Source: RNAcentral